Molecule: ribosomal RNA, 533 nt
Filed under: Colletotrichum karsti
Lineage: Eukaryota; Fungi; Ascomycota; Sordariomycetes; Glomerellales; Glomerellaceae
Description: eukaryotic LSU rRNA
Rfam family: 5.8S ribosomal RNA (bases 206-359)
Source: RNAcentral
CGGAGGGAUCAUUACUGAGUUACCGCUCUAUAACCCUUUGUGAACAUACCUACAACUGUUGCUUCGGCGGGUAGGCCGUCCCCUGAAAAGGACGCCUCCCGGCCCGGACCGGACCCCCCGCGGGACCGGACCCGGCGCCCGCCGGAGGAUAACCAAACUCUAUUGUAACGACGUUUCUUCUGAGUGGCAUAAGCAAAAUAAUCAAAACUUUUAACAACGGAUCUCUUGGUUCUGGCAUCGAUGAAGAACGCAGCGAAAUGCGAUAAGUAAUGUGAAUUGCAGAAUUCAGUGAAUCAUCGAAUCUUUGAACGCACAUUGCGCCCGCCAGCAUUCUGGCGGGCAUGCCUGUUCGAGCGUCAUUUCAACCCUCAAGCUCUGCUUGGUGUUGGGGCUCUACGGUCGACGUAGGCCCUCAAAGGUAGUGGCGGACCCUCCCGGAGCCUCCUUUGCGUAGUAACAUUUCGUCUCGCACUGGGAUCCGGAGGGACUCUUGCCGUAAAACCCCCCAAUUUUCCAAAGGUGACCUCGGAUCA